Molecule: ribosomal RNA, 497 nt
Filed under: uncultured bacterium
Lineage: Bacteria
Description: partial 16S ribosomal RNA
Rfam family: Bacterial small subunit ribosomal RNA
Source: RNAcentral
GAUGAACGCUGGCGGCGUGCCUAAUACAUGCAAGUCGAGCGAACAGACGAGGAGCUUGCUCCUCUGACGUUAGCGGCGGACGGGUGAGUAACACGUGGAUAACCUACCUAUAAGACUGGGAUAACUUCGGGAAACCGGAGCUAAUACCGGAUAAUAUAUUGAACCGCAUGGUUCAAUAGUGAAAGACGGUUUUGCUGUCACUUAUAGAUGGAUCCGCGCCGCAUUAGCUAGUUGGUAAGGUAACGGCUUACCAAGGCAACGAUGCGUAGACGACCUGAGAGGGUGAUCGGCCACACUGGAACUGAGACACGGUCCAGACUCCUACGGGAGGCAGCAGUAGGGAAUCUUCCGCAAUGGGCGAAAGCCUGACGGAGCAACGCCGCGUGAGUGAUGAAGGUCUUCGGAUCGUAAAACUCUGUUAUUAGGGAAGAACAAAUGUGUAAGUAAAUAUGCACGUCUUGACGGUACCUAAUCAGAAAGCCACGGCUAACUACGUG